CAACCUCAACUCAUAUGGGACUACCCCCUGAAUUUAAGCAUAUUAAUUAGGGGAGGAAAAGAAACUAACAAGGAUUUUCUUAGUAGCGGCGAGCGAAAAGAAAUCAGUUCAGCACUAAGUCACUUUGUCUAUAUGGCAAAUGUGAGAUGCAGUGUACGGAACAUCAACAUUCUAGUAUGAGAAGUUAACGAUUUAAGUCCUUCUUAAAUGAGGCCAUUUACCCAUAGAGGGUGCCAGGCCCGUAUAACGUUAAUGAUUACUAGAUGGUGUUUCCAAAGAGUCGUGUUGCUUGAUAGUGCAGCACUAAGUGGGUGGUAAACUCCAUCUAAAACUAAAUAUAACCAUGAGACCGAUAGUAAACAAGUACCGUGAGGGAAAGUUGAAAAGAACUCUGAAUAGAGAGUUAAAUAGUACGUGAAACUGCUUAGAGGUUAAGCCCGAUGAACCUGAAUAUCCGUUAUGGAAAAUUCAUC
This 473-nucleotide non-coding RNA is filed under the name Drosophila virilis. RNAcentral describes it as "Eukaryotic large subunit ribosomal RNA". It matches the Rfam family "Eukaryotic large subunit ribosomal RNA", at positions 1 to 456 of the family's 3401-position model. The record is from Rfam by way of RNAcentral. Lineage: Eukaryota; Metazoa; Arthropoda; Insecta; Diptera; Drosophilidae.